Non-coding RNA from Pelobates cultripes (western spadefoot toad), 370 nucleotides. The record is from the annotation of a GenBank genome assembly. Lineage: Eukaryota; Metazoa; Chordata; Amphibia; Anura; Pelobatidae.
CGCCUUCUUAAAUGACAUCAUCAGAAGGAUGGCUCCCUGGCCAAUCAGCAUCUACAUUGAAUCAAUACAUCUCUACGAGGAAAGUUCAGUGUCUCCAUACAGAGGGUGGAGACAAUGAAUGUCAGUCAGAUUAUGCAGCACUGACCCAGGAAGCACUUCUAGCAGCCAUCUGAGUGACUGCCACUGGAACUGUCCCUAUUCAGCAAUGUAAACAUGGCCUUUGAUCUAAAAAUGCAGUACUUACAGCAAAGAGAAUGCAGAUGACUGACUUUACUCACCUGAACAACUACAUUAAGCUGGAGUUGUUGUGGUGACUAUAGUGUCCCUUUAAGGCCAGAGCGGCCAAACUGGAAGUAUAGCGCAAUAAGAG